CUGUGUCCUUCAACGCCGGUUCACCGCCUGUCGGUGCCAACUGGCGUUUUGCGGGACGUCCUGUCGGUAGCGGCCAGGGAUCUUAGUUGUGUCCGGGGUCCUCCUGUGACCAGCUCUGGUUCUGGGUCGCUUUUAUAAUCCCGCCGCGGUGCUCUUUACCGAGUGUCGAGGCGGGCCGGCACGUUUACUUUGAACAAAUUAGAGUGCUUCAAGCAGGCUCUUUAUGCCUGGAUACUGUGUGCAUGGAAUAAUGGAAUAGGGCCUCGGUUCUAUUUUGUUGGUUUCCGGAAUCUGAGGUAAUGAUCAAUGGGGACAGGCGGGGGCAUUCGUAUUGCGACGUUAGAGGUGAAAUUCUUGGAUCGUCGCAAGACGGACCGAAGCGAAAGCAUUUGCCAAGUAUGUUCCCGUCGAUCAAGAACGAAAGUUAGAGGUUCGAAGGCGAUCAGAUACCGCCCUAGUUCUAACCAUAAACAAUGCCUGCCAGCGAUCCGCCGGCGUCCCUCCGAUGACCCGGCGGGCAGCUUCCGGGAAACCAAAGCUUUUGGGUUCCGGGGGAAGUAUGGUUGCAAAGCUGAAACUUAAAGGAAUUGACGGAAGGGCACCACCAGGAGUGGAGCCUGCGGCUUAAUUUGACUCAACACGGGAAAACUCACCAGGCCCGGACACUGGAAGGAUUGACAGAUUGAUAGCUCUUUCUUGAUUCGGUGGGUGGUGGUGCAUGGCCGUUCUUAGUUGGUGGAGCGAUUUGUCUGGUUAAUUCCGAUAACGAACGAGACUCUAGCCUACUAACUAGACGUUCUGGUAUUAGCAUUCGUGCUACCAGCGAUUAUAUCUCUUCUUAGAGGGACAGGCGGCUUCUAGCCGCACGAGACUGAGCAAUAACAGGUCUGUGAUGCCCUUAGAUGUCCUGGGCCGCACGCGCGCUACACUGAAGGAAUCAGCGUGUUCUCCCUGUCCGAAAGGACCGGGUAACCCGUUGAACCUCCUUCGUGCUUGGGAUUGGGGCUUGCAAUUGUUCCCCAUGAACGAGGAAUUCCCAGUAAGCGCGAGUCAUAAGCUCGUGUUGAUUACGUCCCUGCCCUUUGUACACACCGCCCGUCGCUACUACCGAUUGAAUGAUUUAGUGAGGUCUUCGGACCGGUGCGCGGAGGCGGUUUACCGCUUCCGAUGUUGUCGGAAAGAUGACCAAACUUGAUCAUU
Molecule: ribosomal RNA, 1200 nt
Filed under: Saccharosydne saccharivora
Lineage: Eukaryota; Metazoa; Arthropoda; Insecta; Hemiptera; Delphacidae
Description: SSU rRNA
Rfam family: Eukaryotic small subunit ribosomal RNA
Source: RNAcentral